RNAcentral lists this long non-coding RNA (1112 nucleotides) under Numida meleagris (helmeted guineafowl). RNAcentral describes it as "lncRNA (ENSNMEG00000015328.1)". The record is from RNAcentral. Lineage: Eukaryota; Metazoa; Chordata; Aves; Galliformes; Numididae.
GUUUUCUUGACUGCUUGGAAGACAGAAACCUCUCUGGAGAAGAGCUUCAGUGCUUCCCAUGAUCACCUGCAAAGUAUGAGGCUGAAGUGACUGUACUGCAGGUUCUUAUUUCUGAGGAAUGUAGGUUACUGAAGCUCAAAUUAAGAGACUGUAAGGUGCAGAUUAAUGCAGUAGAAGGCGAGGUUCCAGCCUGUCUCAAAAGGUGUGUGCUCUGUAGCUGAGUGGGGCUAGCAGGCACAAUUGGCCAGGUCACUGUUAUUUCCUCCAUGCCUAUUCUUGUCCUCCCCAUUAUUGCCUACUUGAGUUGUGAGCUCAUAAAAAAAAGAAUUUUUUUUUCAGUCUGUUCCUUAUUUUGCAUGACCUAAUGCUGCAGUGAGCACAAUAAUCUGUGUCCUCAACAAAUACACGUCACUCUCAUCACUGCAGUGGAUGUGUCCUAUUUGCAGCAGCGUGGAAGGUAUCCUUGUGCAGGAGAACUUGGAGGCACAGCAAAUGUGGUCAGUGUAUUUUUCCAUAGAAAUGGUAUCUAUUUUGUAUAUUUCCACUGAGCUUUCCACUUCAUAUCCGAAAUGAAAAUGAAAUAGCAAGUGAUGAAAAUAGAGAUGAAAAUGAUGAUGAGGAUUUGUGUAUAAUAAUCAUCUCCAGUUAUUAAAGCUUUGCAAUACCCUUUUUCAGAGAUGUUCAUAUGAAUCACUGAGAUCUGAUGACUUGCUCAAGGUCACACAGCAAGUUUGUGGCAGAGACAGAAAUAUAAAUGGCAUCUUGAAAGACAAUAUGGAAUCACAUUCACAGACUUUAAUUUGUAUGGACUUGCAAACUCUUGUGCUAUCUGAUGCAGCAAGGCCUCAGGCUACAAAGGAAGAUGGAGGCACACCCAGAAAUAAGAACCAUGAAGAAUAAGAUGGAGGUACAGACAGUUGUGUGUGGAUACACUGGAGUCCUGGUACCAUUGGAUUUAUGGUUAUGCUCCUUGUCUGCUAAGAAACCCUUCUAUAAAUUCACAUUAGUAGAAGAUAUGUGAAUUCCUGAAUAGAAUCCAAUGAGAAUGAAAUAACCACAUAUGUUAGGUACAAAAAUGCCAAUCCUUAAAGACCUAAUGUCACUUAUUUUCU